CAGUCGCCGCGGUAAUACGAAGGGUGCAAGCGUUAAUCGGAAUUACUGGGCGUAAAGCGUGCGUAGGCGGUGAGUUAAGUCUGCUGUGAAAUCCCCGGGCUCAACCUGGGAAUGGCAGUGGAUACUGGCUCGCUAGAGUGUGUCAGAGGAUGGUGGAAUUCCCGGUGUAGCGGUGAAAUGCGUAGAGAUCGGGAGGAACAUCAGUGGCGAAGGCGGCCAUCUGGGACAACACUGACGCUGAAGCACGAAAGCGUGGGGAGCAAACAGGAUUAGAUACCCCAGUAGUCCCUGUCUCUUAUAA
RNAcentral lists this ribosomal RNA (301 nucleotides) under uncultured bacterium. RNAcentral describes it as "partial 16S ribosomal RNA". It matches the Rfam family "Bacterial small subunit ribosomal RNA", at positions 509 to 809 of the family's 1533-position model. The record is from RNAcentral.